CCCCCGAAGAAUUCUCCUGAGUAUGCGCAGUUUGUUUCCCUUUCCUGAACGCAUGCGUGAAGAAGAACAAUGAACAUGUGGCACGAGUCGAAAACAACAAAGAGGAAUGGCUGGGUGGAUCUAGCGAACGAUAGUUUCCCAUUUGCCUCUGUUAGAACUAUUUUGUCCUCGUGUUAUCCCAAGUAAUGUGCUUAAAAAACUGUAAAAAGAACCUGACAACUGAAUGACUUGGUGGCUCACGUAUUUAAACGAACUUACCUUAAAAUGUCGGUAAAGUAAGUUAAGCCAUGUUUAACCCAAAACUUUGUGUACCGAUGUAAAUAUGGUUUUUCUGAUUGUAUUCUUAGCUUGAAGGAUGUUUUAAACAGAGGUAAUUUUAACCAUUGUAAAUACAGUAAGAAGAUUCAGAAAAUUGCUGUUGUAGUAAGUAGUCAGUUGUUGAAAUCUUGUUGAACUGCUCAAUGUAAAAUAUUUCGUCUGUUUUGACGCUUAUGGUCUACUUAGGACGAUUCAAUUUCUGUAUUAGGUGUAGUAGACAAAAGUAUUGUUUCAGCAUUUUGAUUCACAUUGGUUUAAUUUUAUUUUCAGAACUUCAUGAACCAUUUCUUAAAAAAUGGAAUUUAGUUAGCUGUCCAGUUUACUUCAGUCUUACACUUUAAAGUAUAGAAUCAAAAUUCUUCAGAGCUGUAUUAGUCCACAGAUAUGGAAUACAACAUGCUUCAGCUUCAAUACAGCCACUGAUGUCGAAUACUCUGAAAUUUGAGAUAUGAUAGGCAGCUGUCACGUUGUAUUUCAAAGAAAAUAUAAUCAACCAAGAUGAACAUAGACAAGUGCCAUUUCCUUAUGGUUCCUCUGAAUUAUCACUACGUACGUGGAUAGAAUAUUUCUCGUCGGCCCAGUAUUUUGCCUCGAAUAUAUACCGUGACUCAUAUCUCAAACACGGAUAUCAGCCUCUGAGGCAUUAUUAAUUUCUUAGUGGACCCAGCAGUAUUUGCAUUUUCUUAUUUGUUAAAUGAAGAUGCGUAGGCGAGAAAAUAAACCGAAUAGGGAGACUGAUCGAUCACGGACACAAUACUGGCCCUUGAUAGUCACUACACCGCACGACAUUGCAUUAAAUGAUAUGUUUAUUCGGUUGACUCAAAUACUUUUCAAUGGAUUCAGCGUCAACUAUGAUAAUAAAACUAUGAUAAUAAAAAGAAAGUUUGAAAUA
Molecule: long non-coding RNA, 1210 nt
Organism: Pocillopora damicornis (cauliflower coral)
Lineage: Eukaryota; Metazoa; Cnidaria; Anthozoa; Scleractinia; Pocilloporidae
Source: RefSeq, a predicted model, not a curated record